GUAGGUGGCAAGCGUUGUCCGGAAUUAUUGGGCGUAAAGCGCGCGCAGGCGGUUCUUUAAGUCUGAUGUGAAAGCCCACGGCUCAACCGUGGAGGGUCAUUGGAAACUGGAGAACUUGAGUACAGAAGAGGAAAGCGGAAUUCCACGUGUAGCGGUGAAAUGCGUAGAGAUGUGGAGGAACACCAGUGGCGAAGGCGGCUUUCUGGUCUGUAACUGACGCUGAGGCGCGAAAGCGUGGGGAGCAAACAGGAUUAGAUACCCUGGUAGUCCACGCCGUAAACGAUGAGUGCUAAGUGUUAAGGGGUUUCCGCCCCCCUUAGUGCUGCAGCUAACGCAUUAAGCACUCCGCCUGGGAGUACGGCCGCAAGGCUG
RNAcentral lists this ribosomal RNA (372 nucleotides) under uncultured organism. RNAcentral describes it as "partial 16S ribosomal RNA". It matches the Rfam family "Bacterial small subunit ribosomal RNA", at positions 527 to 896 of the family's 1533-position model. The record is from RNAcentral.